This 1234-nucleotide long non-coding RNA is filed under the name Mustela putorius furo (domestic ferret). RNAcentral's name for it is "lncRNA (ENSMPUG00000026239.1)". Lineage: Eukaryota; Metazoa; Chordata; Mammalia; Carnivora; Mustelidae. The record is from RNAcentral.
AUGGGGCUAGCAGUCUGGGUUACAUGGUUUGCUCUCCCUGCACUCCCACGUAAGUGUUUAAUUGUCCAAUUUUCUUUUGCUUCUCUCCAGAAAGUGGGGAGGGACUUGUGGCUCAGUCCCAGGGCACCAAGUGUCCUCAGACUGCAGAACAGAGGGUCCCAUCACCUCCAAGAGGCUGCAUGAAAAAAAACAUAGUUACUUCAACUGAGGGUUUCAUAGACCAGCCAGACCCCAGCAGACCCACCAGCUCACCAGCAAUGCGUGUGAAUCCUGUCUUGUCCAGAUGAGCUGAGACAAGCCCACUUCAGGCCAUCCAACUUGCUGGCUUCAGAGAAAAAAGAGAUGCUUAUUGUUGAAGUCAUUGACAUUUAUUGACCAUAUACGAUGUGCCAGAAAUUGCUAAAUGCAGAGAACACAAAGAUGAACUAAAUAGGAUCCCUGCCCUUGAAUGUGUUGGAAGCGUUCACAAUGAGAUUAAGGUGGGAAAAUACUGUAGAAUCUAGUUCAUGGAGGGGGAAAAACUGCAACACUGUGGCUGUACUAAAGGCAGAUUCCCAGACCUUGGUCAUCCCUGAUCCAAUCAUUUCUUCAGAGGAAAACUGGUAAUCAGUGGAAAAACAGAAACAAAACAAAACAAAACAAAGCCAAUUCCUUUCUGAUCUCCACUUUUCCCUUCAAAUUCUUUUGUUAAAGAAGCAUUUGCAUGUGUUUGGCAAUGUGGAAGUUUUGGAGGCAGGAUAGAAAUGCACAGGGCAUCAAUAACAUUGCAGAGGUUCAAGGUCAGUGUUCACCAAUUAAAAUGCAAUUAUAAUUUCAAGUUAUAGUAUCCCUCCUCAGAUGAUAAUCUGAUCCACUGGACUUUAAACUCCUGAGCUUUGAGACUGUUCUAAUCAAGACUGUAUUGCAGUACCUAGCACGUAAAUGAGUAGCCUAGACAAUUAGGUAUAUAAUUUGCUUUUGCUUUAAGAGAACCAUUUCUAAAAGGUAAUCCUUUGACAUUUUCUUUUGUUUUAUUUGUUUGUCUUGUUUUAACUUUAUUUUAUUUCUUAAAAUAUUUGAUUUAUUUAUUUGAGAGAGAAAGAGAGAGAGAACAAGCACGAGUGGAGUGGGAAGCAGAGGGAGAAGCAAACUCCUCGCUGAGUAGGGAGCCUGGCAUAGGGCUGGAUCCUGGUACUCCAAGAUCAUGACCUGAGCCAAAGGCAGAUGUUUCACCUACUGAGCCACUCAGGUGCCC